Medicago truncatula (barrel medic) is the source of this 399-nucleotide long non-coding RNA. RefSeq lists it as uncharacterized. The record is from RefSeq and is a predicted model, not a curated record. Lineage: Eukaryota; Viridiplantae; Streptophyta; Magnoliopsida; Fabales; Fabaceae. The transcript is spliced from 2 exons.
UAAAAACUAGAAAAUAAUCAAACAAUUUUCUUUUUGUUACAUCUAAAGGAGAAGAAACAUGACUACAAUUCUCAAGUUUGCUUAUGUUAUGAUCAUAUGUCUUUUUCUGCUUCAGGUUGCAGCCCAAGAAGUUUUAGAAAAAGAAAUUUUUCGCUGCCAGACAGACGGAGAAUGUGAUCACAUGUGUGUCACACCUGGCAUUCCAAAGUGUGUUGCGAAUAUGUGUUUCUGCUUUGACAAUUUAUAAAUGUAAUAUAGUUUGCUAUAAACUUAUAACAAGAUAUAGGGAGGAGAGUAAAAACGUCACUGCAUGCAGAAUUUCAAAUGAAUUGUAAUAAAUAAAGAUGUAAUCAUAUGAAAUAAUUAUUAAAUAAAGAUAACAUGAUUAUCACAUAAUUA